AAGUCGUAACAAGGUAACCGUAGGUGAACCUGCGGUUGGAUCAUUAAAAAGAUCUACCACCCGAACUCGGAUGAGAUCGUCAUAGCCGCCCUCGUCAGUCCGACGCCGGGUGUUCUCACCUAAAAAGUGAGUCAACAUUAUGUGAACUGUUCUGUCUUGGCGGUGGGAUGGCGUCAAAACCAUCUGUCAGCCUCCGAGUUCUCUCGGUGUGCCGUGGACAAGCCGUCAAUGGUGUAUGUUUCAUACAAACUUUUGUUUCAUCAAUCUGUCUGGCAUACCUUUUGUAUCUAAAAUAUACAAAAACAA
RNAcentral lists this unclassified non-coding RNA (306 nucleotides) under plant metagenome. RNAcentral describes it as "partial contains small subunit ribosomal RNA and internal transcribed spacer 1". The stretch from base 1 to 46 matches the Rfam family "Eukaryotic small subunit ribosomal RNA", at positions 1786 to 1831 of the family's 1831-position model. The record is from RNAcentral.